CCAGUAAGAGCCUGGCUGGGCUGCUGGGGCAGCAGAGGAGCUCUGGGAGAGACAUGGGAGUACCUGCUGGAAGAGGAGAUCAUUCACCAACCUGAGCGUCCUGACCACGCUGAACUCACUUGCACAUUUUGAAUUUGUGGAUAAUUUACAUGGAAGAUGGGCAAACUUCUGGAAAGGCUCAUUCCAGUCUGAGGGAAUGAAGAUUUCAUUCAAGAGUGCUGCAAUUCAAGCCUGUUCCAGACAGAUUCUUUGGUCUGCUGUGCAGAAAUUGAGCAGCUCGUGUAAAACUUCAUUUGAGGGACUUGACAAACUGUACAGGAGGAAAAAAAAAAUGCAGGAUGGAUGGGCUGCUAGCUCGGGAUGAACGCUGCUGCUGCUGCUGUGUACAGAGGCAGAACGUGCCUGGGUGAGGCUCCAUUUGCCAGGGAACACAGCAGAUAUUCUGGUCUAAAACAGAAUAUCUGGGGUGGGUUACCAGUCUGGGAGGACUGAGGUUUAACAGCAAAGGACAGAGUUCUUCUCAGGCAGCUCAUCCUCAAACUGGGGAAUGGUAUUGCACAGUGCAGGGCUGCAGAUGGGCUCAG
Long non-coding RNA from Passer montanus (Eurasian tree sparrow), 584 nucleotides. RefSeq lists it as uncharacterized. The transcript is spliced from 3 exons. Lineage: Eukaryota; Metazoa; Chordata; Aves; Passeriformes; Passeridae. The record is from RefSeq and is a predicted model, not a curated record.